RNAcentral lists this ribosomal RNA (557 nucleotides) under Labrys sp. BvIRR019. RNAcentral's name for it is "bacterial SSU rRNA". It matches the Rfam family "Bacterial small subunit ribosomal RNA", at positions 102 to 694 of the family's 1533-position model. Lineage: Bacteria; Pseudomonadati; Pseudomonadota; Alphaproteobacteria; Hyphomicrobiales; Xanthobacteraceae. The record is from RNAcentral.
ACGGGUGAGUAACGCGUGGGGAUGUGCCUUGAGGUGGGGAAUAACUGUGGGAAACUACAGCUAAUACCGCAUAAGCCCUUCGGGGGAAAGAUUUAUCGCCUUUAGAGCAACCCGCGUCAGAUUAGCUAGUUGGUAGGGUAAUGGCCUACCAAGGCGACGAUCUGUAGCUGGUCUGAGAGGAUGACCAGCCACACUGGGACUGAGACACGGCCCACACUCCUACGGGAGGCAGCAGUGGGGAAUAUUGGACAAUGGGCGCAAGCCUGAUCCAGCCAUGCCGCGUGAGUGAUGACGGCCUUAGGGUUGUAAAGCUCUUUUAACAGGGACGAUGAUGACGGUACCUGUAGAAUAAGCCCCGGCAAACUUCGUGCCAGCAGCCGCGGUAAUACGAAGGGGGCUAGCGUUGUUCGGAAUUACUGGGCGUAAAGCGCACGUAGGCGGAUUUUUAAGUCAGGGGUGAAAUCCCGAGGCUCAACCUCGGAACUGCCAUGAAUACUGUAGAUCUUGAGUUCGGAAGAGGUUGGUGGAACAGCUAGUGUAGAGGUGAAAUUCGUAGA